UUAAAUGUUAAUAACAAAGUGAUAAAAACACAAGUAUUUUUAUCUUGGUUCGCUAGAAUUUUGUAUGUUACAAAUUACUACUACACAAGAAAGUUUUACACAAAUGAUAAACAAAUAUGUAAAAAAAAACUGUGUACAUAAUUGAUAGCUUUUCACAAAGAAACAGACUUGUCAAAUUAUUGUAGCAUUCUUGUUUUCUUUAAGUUUCC
RNAcentral lists this long non-coding RNA (209 nucleotides) under Lathyrus oleraceus (garden pea). RNAcentral's name for it is "Pisum sativum (pea) long non-coding RNA (PSAT_LNC013533)". Lineage: Eukaryota; Viridiplantae; Streptophyta; Magnoliopsida; Fabales; Fabaceae. The record is from RNAcentral.